CCUACGGGUGGCAGCAGUGGGGAAUAUUGGGCAAUGGGCGCAAGCCUGACCCAGCAACGCCGCGUGAAGGAAGAAGGCUUUCGGGUUGUAAACUUCUUUUCUCAGGGACGAAGCAAGUGACGGUACCUGAGGAAUAAGACACGGCUAACUACGUGCCAGCAGCCGCGGUCAUACGUAGGUGGCAAGCGUUAUGCGGAUUUACUGGGUGUAAAGGGCGUGUAGGCGGGACUGCAAGUCAGAUGUGAAAACCACGGGCUCAACCUGAAGCCUGCAUUUGAAACUGUAAUUCUUGAGUACUGGAGAGGCAGACGGAAGUCCUGGUGUAGCGGUGAAAUGCGUAGAUAUUACGAAGAACACCAGUGGCGAAGGCAGUCUGCUGGACAGCAACUGACGCUGAGGCGCGAAAGCGUGGGGAUCAAACAGGAUUAGAUACCCUAGUAGUC
This 443-nucleotide ribosomal RNA is filed under the name uncultured bacterium. RNAcentral describes it as "partial 16S ribosomal RNA". It matches the Rfam family "Bacterial small subunit ribosomal RNA", at positions 338 to 795 of the family's 1533-position model. The record is from RNAcentral.